GCGGGAAUAGCUCAGCAGGUAGAGCACGACCUUGCCAAGGUCGGGGUCGCGAGUUCGAAUCUCGUUUCCCGCUCCA
This 76-nucleotide transfer RNA is filed under the name Pantoea sp. Edef. RNAcentral's name for it is "tRNA-Gly". It matches the Rfam family "tRNA". Rfam says of the family: Transfer RNA (tRNA) molecules are approximately 80 nucleotides in length. Lineage: Bacteria; Pseudomonadati; Pseudomonadota; Gammaproteobacteria; Enterobacterales; Erwiniaceae. The record is from RNAcentral.